CACGUAGGGCGCAAGCGUUGUCCGGAAUUAUUGGGCGUAAAGAGCUCGUAGGCGGUCUGUUACGUCUGCUGUGAAAACCCAGGGCUUAACCCUGGGCUUGCAGUGGAUACGGGCAGACUAGAGGCAGGUAGGGGAGAAUGGAAUCCCCGGUGUAGCGGUGAAAUGCGCAGAUAUCGGGAGGAAUACCGGUGGCGAAGGCGGCAUCCUGGACCGACAUUGACGCUGAGGCGCGAAAGCUAGGGGAGCAAACGGG
This 253-nucleotide ribosomal RNA is filed under the name uncultured bacterium. RNAcentral describes it as "partial 16S ribosomal RNA". It matches the Rfam family "Bacterial small subunit ribosomal RNA", at positions 524 to 776 of the family's 1533-position model. The record is from RNAcentral.